Molecule: non-coding RNA, 239 nt
Organism: Arachis ipaensis
Lineage: Eukaryota; Viridiplantae; Streptophyta; Magnoliopsida; Fabales; Fabaceae
Source: RefSeq, a predicted model, not a curated record
CUCUUAGUAUUUUACAGACCUUUGUACACAGCUCAAUCGAAAUUCACCAAUCUCUUCGUUCGUUAAUUUUAGUCGCUCGUUUUCGUUUUUAUUUCAUAGCCUCUGUCUCCAUUUCCCGCUCACUAUUCGGUUUAUUAGCUUGCAACAAUGGAAGCUUCCACUUCUUCCUACAAGAUUAUAUUGGGAUCAUCCUCAGUAGCACGGCGCAAGAUACUAUCUGAAAUGGGGUACGAAUUCAC